GGCUGGUCCGAGUGCAGUGGUGUUUACAACUAAUUGAUCACAACCUGUUACAGAUUUCUUUGUUCCUUCUCCACUCCCACUGCUUCACUUGACUAGCCUUAA
Molecule: Y RNA, 102 nt
Organism: Callithrix jacchus (white-tufted-ear marmoset)
Lineage: Eukaryota; Metazoa; Chordata; Mammalia; Primates; Cebidae
Rfam family: Y RNA
About the family: Y RNAs are components of the Ro ribonucleoprotein particle (Ro RNP), in association with Ro60 and La proteins. The Y RNAs and Ro60 and La proteins are well conserved, but the function of the Ro RNP is not known.
Source: Ensembl